Molecule: long non-coding RNA, 412 nt
Filed under: Lathyrus oleraceus (garden pea)
Lineage: Eukaryota; Viridiplantae; Streptophyta; Magnoliopsida; Fabales; Fabaceae
Description: Pisum sativum (pea) long non-coding RNA (PSAT_LNC042018)
Source: RNAcentral
CAAACUUAGCUUGUUGCUUGUCCUCAAGUAACAUUUUAUUACCAUCAAAGAUCAUGUCACCCCAAACUUACUGUAAAACAGUUCUUACCACAAUACUGCUGAAAUUUUUCGCACUGGACCUCUUGAUGUUUUUCAGGUUUUCUGAUUCUUCCACAUAGCCAACGAGCUAGAAACUCUUUCCCUCAGAAAUAUGACUUUACCUGUCAGCUUAUAUCACACUCUCACCAAGUCUCUCUGGGUUAAAGUGUUAUCACUCUCAAAUCACAAUAUGCAAUAUCAAAUCAGCAGUUUGAAUAAAUUCUCUCAUCCUAUCAACAUGUACAAUCACACACACUUUUUGAGGUCUUUUAGGGUUGUAACGGGGCUUGGGUUUAGGUAGGCUAUGAAAGUUGAACCUAGGGUUUUUUUUUUU